This 869-nucleotide ribosomal RNA is filed under the name Pristocera formosana. Its description in RNAcentral is "SSU rRNA". It matches the Rfam family "Eukaryotic small subunit ribosomal RNA", at positions 458 to 1287 of the family's 1831-position model. Lineage: Eukaryota; Metazoa; Arthropoda; Insecta; Hymenoptera; Bethylidae. The record is from RNAcentral.
GGGGAGGUAGUGACGAAAAAUAACGAUACGGGACUCAUCCGAGGCCCCGUAAUCGGAAUGAGUACACUUUAAAUCCUUUAACGAGGAUCCAUUGGAGGGCAAGUCAGGUGCCAGCAGCCGCGGUAAUUCCAGCUCCAAUAGCGUAUAUUAAAGUUGUUGCGGUUAAAAAGCUCGUAGUUGAAUCUGUGUGCCACAAUGUCGGUCCGCCGCUCGCGGUGGUUACCUACAUAUCGUGGGACGUCCUACCGGUGGACUUAGUUCCUUAGGGGACGGUCCAACUAAUAUCCCAUCGCGGUGCUCUUCAUUGAGUGUCGAGGUGGGCCGGUACGUUUACUUUGAACAAAUUAGAGUGCUUAAAGCAGGCUACUUUCGCCUGAAUACUGUGUGCAUGGAAUAAUGGAAUAGGACCUCGGUUCUAUUUUGUUGGUUUUCGGAACCCCGAGGUAAUGAUUAAUAGGGACAGAUGGGGGCAUUCGUAUUGCGACGUUAGAGGUGAAAUUCUUGGAUCGUCGCAAGACGGACAGAAGCGAAAGCAUUUGCCAAAAAUGUUUUCAUUAAUCAAGAACGAAAGUUAGAGGUUCGAAGGCGAUCAGAUACCGCCCUAGUUCUAACCAUAAACGAUGCCAGCUAGCGAUCCGCCGAAGUUCCUCCGAUGACUCGGCGGGCAGCUUCCGGGAAACCAAAGCUUUUGGGUUCCGGGGGAAGUAUGGUUGCAAAGCUGAAACUUAAAGGAAUUGACGGAAGGGCACCACCAGGAGUGGAGCCUGCGGCUUAAUUUGACUCAACACGGGAAACCUCACCAGGCCCGGACACCGGAAGGAUUGACAGAUUGAUAGCUCUUUCUUGAUUCGGUGGGUGGUGGUGCAUGG